Molecule: non-coding RNA, 93 nt
Organism: Mycena vitilis
Lineage: Eukaryota; Fungi; Basidiomycota; Agaricomycetes; Agaricales; Mycenaceae
Source: the annotation of a GenBank genome assembly
GGCUCGGUAGCGCGUGGCGCGCGUCUGUGCAUGACGGAGCGGACACUAAUGAUAUGCCGAGCAGACACCCCCGUUCGACUCGGGGCUGAGCCA